RNAcentral lists this ribosomal RNA (224 nucleotides) under uncultured Lactobacillus sp. Its description in RNAcentral is "partial 16S ribosomal RNA". It matches the Rfam family "Bacterial small subunit ribosomal RNA", at positions 139 to 354 of the family's 1533-position model. The record is from RNAcentral. Lineage: Bacteria; Bacillati; Bacillota; Bacilli; Lactobacillales; Lactobacillaceae.
CGGGAUAACAACCUGGAAACAGAUGCUAAUACCGGAUAACAACAGAUGAUGCCUAUCAACUGUUUAAAAGAUGGUUCUGCUAUCACUCUUGGAUGGACCUGCGGUGCAUUAGCUAGUUGGUAGGGUAACGGCCUACCAAGGCGAUGAUGCAUAGCCGAGUUGAGAGACUGAUCGGCCACAUUGGGACUGAGACACGGCCCAAACUCCUACGGGAGGCAGCAGGA